This 405-nucleotide transfer-messenger RNA is filed under the name Alistipes sp. It matches the Rfam family "transfer-messenger RNA". From Rfam's summary of the family: Bacterial tmRNA, also known as 10Sa RNA or SsrA, is named for its dual tRNA and mRNA-like properties. Its role is to liberate the mRNA from a stalled ribosome. The record is from RNAcentral. Lineage: Bacteria; Pseudomonadati; Bacteroidota; Bacteroidia; Bacteroidales; Rikenellaceae.
GGGGGCGACCGGUUUUGACAGCUUGCAGGGUUUGUUUGUAAGCACGUCGAGCGUUGUGUGGUAGCUCGUAAAUAUCAACACUCAAACUAUAAAUGGCAAUAAUAAUAGCUAUGCACUCGCUGCUUAAUUUUCAAGGAAAAUUAGCUUAAUCGACGAGUCCAAGGCGACUUGACGACGAGUAUCCCGAAUGGCAGCUGCGCCCUUUAGUUGUUGUUCAUACGGGGUAUCAUCUUUUAAGGGAUAGCAAGCGUAGAGUCUUGAUGCGUUUGUGAAAUUUUAAAGACUGGGGCUUUGGUUAGGCCGUCUGUGGCCGUCUAAAGCAGGAGGAUUAAACGCAGAAUAAACGUGUAGAAAGCUUUCGGGCUCCGAGUUUGGACGCGGGUUCGACUCCCGCCGCCUCCACGC